Molecule: ribosomal RNA, 1483 nt
Filed under: Candidatus Yanofskybacteria bacterium RIFCSPHIGHO2_01_FULL_43_42
Lineage: Bacteria; Candidatus Yanofskyibacteriota
Description: partial 23S ribosomal RNA
Rfam family: Bacterial large subunit ribosomal RNA
Source: RNAcentral
AUUAAGCAAGGGCGUAUGGAGGAUGCCUUGACAUUAAGAGGCGAUGAAGGUCGUGGCGUGACUGCGAUAAGCUUCGGGGAGCCGUCUAGCGGGCUUUGAUCCGGAGAUGACCGAAUGGGGCAACCCAAUUGAGCAAACCUCAAUUAUCCCCCGAUUUAAAUCGGGGGGAGCAUACUCGGCGAAGUGAAACAUCUCAGUAGCCGAAGGAAGAGAAACCGCAAGGAUUCCGUAAGUAGCGGCGAGCGAAAGCGGAACAGCCUAAACCAUGUGCUUCGCACAUAGUUCGUAAAGUUAAAAGUUCAUCAGGUUCAUUAAGUAAUCAAAAAACCUUAUAACCUUAUAACUUUAUAAACUUUCUGAUUUAUGUGUGAAGUGCAUGGGGUAAUAGGGAAGAACAUUUUCUUUAGAAUCUAGAAAUUAGAAUCUAGAAAAUAGAAGGAGGAGAAAUCCAAAUUCUACUUUCUAUUUUCUACUUUCUAUUUUCUUGAAGAUAAAGAGUUACAAAAUUGAAAGUUAGCAAAAUGGCCUUGGAAUAGCCAACCAAAGAAGGUGACAGUCCUGUAAGCAAAAAUUUUCAAUCUCUUGUUCUAAGAUAAUCAGUCAAAAACUUUUUAAAAAGUUUUUGACUGAUUAUCUCCCCUGAGUAGCCCGGGAUCAGAAUGUCCUGGGUGAAUUUGUCCGUACUACCGGAUAAGGCUAAAUACUCUUAAUGAUCGAUAGUGAACCAGUACCGUGAGGGAAAGGUGAAAAGCACCCCGGUGAGGGGAGUGAAAUAGUAACUGAAACCAUAUGCCUACAAAGAGCGAGAGUCCCACACACAACUUUGGAAUGCGCCAAAGGCGCUUCUGAGGUGCAAGAGCACCUAUCUAAAGUUGUGUGUGGGAUGAUCGUGUGCCUAUUGAAGAAUGACCCAACGAGUUUAUCUAAAUGACGUGUCUAAGCCGUUAUGCGGCGAAGGCGUAGGGAAACCGAGUGUUAAAAGCGCGUAUUCCAACUCAAAUUUUUGGAUUUUAAAAUUAAAACGCCAGAUAAUCAAGGAUUAUCUGGCAGAGUAAUUCAUGUCUGGCUAGUUAGCGGACCCAGCCGAGAAUCGGGAAUAACCAAAGCGGCGUGGUUGCCAAAAAUAUAAAGCCAGAAAUAGCAGUAAAGGUCCAAAACAAACCUUGCCUAGAUUCUUUGUCAAUUUCAAUUUCGUAGCCGAAUGCCCUCAAUGCCCUCAUGUUAAAGAUCCUCCUUUUGUCUGGCAGUCUAUUUGCCAGAUCAAAGAACUGUAUCACAUGAGUAAAAUUUUGUCAAGAGUCUAAAAAUUUGAGUUGGAUAAGUCGUUUGGAUAAGACCCGAAGCCAGAGCGAGCUAACCAUGACCAGGGUGAAGUCCCGAGAAAUCGGGAUGGAGGCCCGAACCGAUAGAUAGCGCAAUAUCUCCGGAUGAGUUGUGGUUAGAAGUGAAAAGCUUAUCGAGCCUGGUAAUAGCUGGUUCUCCC